CUCUGCAGUAGCUCAGGUGGUUAGAGCACUGUACCGGAAUCGCAAGGCCACAGGUUCAAUUCCUGUGAGAGG
Paramuricea clavata is the source of this 72-nucleotide non-coding RNA. The record is from the annotation of a GenBank genome assembly. Lineage: Eukaryota; Metazoa; Cnidaria; Anthozoa; Malacalcyonacea; Plexauridae.